GAUGGACGCUAGCGGCAGGCUUAACACAUGCAAGUCGAGGGGUAUAGUAGCAAUACUAGAGACCGGCGCACGGGUGCGUAACGCGUAUGCAAUCUACCUUUCACAGAGGGAUAGCCCAGAGAAAUUUGGAUUAAUACCUCAUAGUAUAGUAUCUUGGCAUCAAGGAACUAUUAAAGUCACAACGGUGAAAGAUGAGCAUGCGUCCCAUUAGUUAGUUGGUAAGGUAAAGGCUUACCAAGACUACGAUGGGUAGGGGUCCUGAGAGGGAGAUCCACCAAACUGGUAACGAGACACGGACCAGACUCCUACGGGGGGCAGCAGUGAGGAAUAUUGGACAAUGGGCGCAAGCCUGAUCCAGCCAUGCCGCGUGCAGGAUGACGGUCCUAUGGAUUGUAAACUGCUUUUGUACAGGAAGAAACACACCGACGUGUCGGGACUUGACGGUACUGUAAGAAUAAGGAUCGGCUAACUCCGUGCCAGCCGCCGCGGUAA
This 492-nucleotide ribosomal RNA is filed under the name uncultured bacterium. Its description in RNAcentral is "partial 16S ribosomal RNA". It matches the Rfam family "Bacterial small subunit ribosomal RNA", at positions 28 to 523 of the family's 1533-position model. The record is from RNAcentral.